AUUGAACGCUGGCGGCAUGCCUUACACAUGCAAGUCGAACGGUAACGCGGGGCAACCUGGCGACGAGUGGCGAACGGGUGAGUAAAACAUCGGAACGUGCCCAGUAGUGGGGGAUAGCCCGGCGAAAGCCGGAUUAAUACCGCAUACGACCUAUGGGUGAAAGGGGGGGAUCGCAAGACCUCUCGCUAUUGGAUCGGCCGAUGUCAGAUUAGGUAGGUGGUGGGGUAAAGGCCUACCAAGCCGACGAUCUGUAGCUGGGCUGAGAGGACGACCAGCCACACUGGAACUGAGACACGGUCCAGACUCCUACGGGAGGCAGCAGUGGGGAAUUUUGGACAAUGGACGCAAGUCUGAUCCAGCCAUUCCGCGUGAUGGAUGAAGGCCCUCGGGUUGUAAACUGCUUUUGUACGGAACGAAAAGCUCUCUCCUAAUACGAGGGGCUCAUGACGGUACCGUAAGAAUAAGCACCGGCUAACUACGUGCCAGCAGCCGCCGUAA
Molecule: ribosomal RNA, 498 nt
Filed under: uncultured bacterium
Lineage: Bacteria
Description: partial 16S ribosomal RNA
Rfam family: Bacterial small subunit ribosomal RNA
Source: RNAcentral